RNAcentral lists this ribosomal RNA (164 nucleotides) under uncultured bacterium. RNAcentral's name for it is "partial 16S rRNA". It matches the Rfam family "Bacterial small subunit ribosomal RNA", at positions 355 to 511 of the family's 1533-position model. The record is from RNAcentral.
UAGGGAAUCUUCCACAAUGGACGCAAGUCUGAUGGAGCAACGCCGCGUGAGUGAAGAAGGUCUUCGGAUCGUAAAACUCUGUUGUUAGAGAAGAACACGAGUGAGAGUAACUGUUCAUUCGAUGACGGUAUCUAACCAGCAAGUCACGGCUAACUACGUGUCAG